GAUGAACGCUGGCGGCGUGCCUAAUACAUGCAAGUCGAGCGAACAGAUAAGGAGCUUGCUCCUUUGACGUUAGCGGCGGACGGGUGAGUAACACGUGGGUAACCUACCUAUAAGACUGGGAUAACUUCGGGAAACCGGUGCUAAUACCGCAUAACAUUUGGAACCGCAUGGUUUUAGAGUGAAAGAUGGUUUUGCUAUCACUAAUAGUUGUACCCGGGCCGAUUUGGCAGUUUGGGAAGGAAACGGCUUACCAAGGCAACGUAACGAAGCCGACCUGGGAGGGUGUUGGGCAAAUCUGGAACUGGGACACGGCCCAGACUCCUACGGGAGGCACCAGUAGGGAAUUUUCGGAAAUGGGCGAAGGCCUGACGGAGCAACGCCGGGUGAUUAAUGAGGGGUUUCGGCUCGUAAACCUCUGUUAUUAGGGAGGAACUAACGUGUAAGGAAAUGUGCACGUCGUGACGGUACCUAAUCAGAAAGCCACGGCUAACUACGUG
RNAcentral lists this ribosomal RNA (497 nucleotides) under uncultured bacterium. RNAcentral describes it as "partial 16S ribosomal RNA". It matches the Rfam family "Bacterial small subunit ribosomal RNA", at positions 28 to 507 of the family's 1533-position model. The record is from RNAcentral.